Molecule: ribosomal RNA, 253 nt
Filed under: uncultured bacterium
Lineage: Bacteria
Description: partial 16S ribosomal RNA
Rfam family: Bacterial small subunit ribosomal RNA
Source: RNAcentral
UACGGAGGAGGCAAGCGUUAUCCGGAAUUAUUGGGCGUAAAGCGUCCGCAGGUGGCUAAUCAAGUCUGUUGUCAAAGCGCGGAGCUCAACUCCGUACAGGCGAUGGAAACUGGGAGACUAGAGUACGUUCGGGGCAGAGGGAAUUCCUGGUGUAGCGGUGAAAUGCGUAGAGAUUGGGAAGAACACCGGUGGCGAAGGCGCUCUGCUAUGCCGCAACUGACACUGAGGGACGAAAGCUAGGGGAGCAAACAGG